Molecule: ribosomal RNA, 496 nt
Filed under: uncultured bacterium
Lineage: Bacteria
Description: partial 16S ribosomal RNA
Rfam family: Bacterial small subunit ribosomal RNA
Source: RNAcentral
CUGACCGCUGGCGGCGUGCCUAAUACAUGCAAGUCGAGCGAACAGACGAGGAGCUUGCUCCUCUGACGUUAGCGGCGGACGGGUGAGUAACACGUGGAUAACCUACCUAUAAGACUGGGAUAACUUCGGGAAACCGGAGCUAAUACCGGAUAACAUGUUGAACCGCAUGGUUCAACAGUGAAAGACGGUCUUGCUGUCACUUAUAGAUGGAUCCGCGCCGCAUUAGCUAGUUGGUAAGGUAACGGCUUACCAAGGCAACGAUGCGUAGCCGACCUGAGAGGGUGAUCGGCCACACUGGAACUGAGACACGGUCCAGACUCCUACGGGAGGCAGCAGUAGGGAAUCUUCCGCAAUGGGCGAAAGCCUGACGGAGCAACGCCGCGUGAGUGAAGAAGGUCUUCGGAUCGUAAAACUCUGUUAUUAGGGAAGAACAAAUGUGUAAGUAACUAUGCACGUCUUGACGGUACCUAAUCAGAAAGCCACGGCUAACUACGUG